GGGGCGCCGCCCCGACCCCAGCUCCAUCUCCGCCUUAUUCCCGGCUGGAGCCCACUCGCCGCCCAACCCAACUCCCACUCCGCCUUCUUCCCGGAGGAAGCCCGCGUCACCGCCCCAACCCCCGCGCCCGCUCCGCGUUCUUCCCGGCGGCCGGCCCCAACUCCCGCCCCACCUUCUUCCCGGCGGCAGCAUAGAAUCCCCGCCCUACCUUCACCGACGGUACCACCACAUCUACAUCGUCCGCCUCCUUCCCCGGCCGUAGCUCCCGACCACCCACACCCGAAAAAACCUAGGCGCCCAUCCCCGCGCUCGAAUCCCACCUCCACCGGCGCCGGGAGCUCCCCACCACCCAUGCGCCGCCUCCCGCGAAACUACCAGCCCGGCGGCGUCCCUCCUCCCAGCUCGGCGCGCCGGCCAUCUCCUUCGCUGCAGCUCGCGCGCCGCCAAAUCCCCUCCCCUGCAGUUUUUGAGCCGCAAAAUCCCAUCCCCUGGACCUGGCGCGGCGUGCUCCCCUUCCCUGCAGCUCGCGCAGAGCCCUUUCCCACAUGUGCAGCUUGCACGACGUCGCUCCUGGCACUCCACUUCAUCUCGACCGGCGUCUCCCUAGGACCGUCGAGCGACGGGACGCCGUGGCCACCACAGGAGUCCACCAGAGCCCGCGCUCGAAUCCCUCGCCCAGUGAUGCUCCUCAUCGCUGCUCUGGACCCCGGCGGCCUGGCCCUCCCGAGCUCUGCCGACAGCCUCAGCCCCUGCUGCAUCGCAUCUGGAGACAACAGCGACAAUACAUUGGCAGCACGGGGGAAGUUUGCUUCUGUUAUCCCCUGUUUCUCUUUUACUUCUUAAAUAGUGCGUCCACAACUGCUAAUCUGGCCUCCGUCUCUCCUAAUCUAUUUCCAUGGUGGCAAGGCUCUGGUUCAGGCUAUAAUUUCACUUCAUGUUUGGAUUGAUUUUGCUGUUGGUUGAUUUUAGAAUUGCUGGUGACGUUGUAAUGCUUCUGAACUACUGCUAGUGUGUCUAAAUUUUUUUUUACAAGCAAAGUUUGGACGAUUACAUCACACAAAAUAAUUUCUGAAGUUCACUUUUUGGUAUCAGAAAAGUUCUUUGCUUGUUUCUUUGACGAUGUAAAUAGUACAUGAAAUAUAUGCAUUUGCUGUUGAUGUGUGUCUAAUAGGAAAAUAACUCAAGUUCACCCUUUUGUAUUGAAAAAGUUCACUUCUAUAUUUCCAGGAGCUCGGGGAGCACAAGGUCAUUCUCGAUUUGUUGUCGUGCCAGUGGAGUCCAGGAGAAGUUCAGCUGUGUGAGCCCACUGGUUGCCGCGGCGGGAGUUCAAGAGUAAGAUAAGAAAUGAUAUAGGCAUGAAAGCUACCGCCGUUGCUCCUGGUGCUUGGCCUCGCCAACGACCUCACAACCAGGCCCGUACCUCGCUGCUGUUCUGAAGUCCGGAUGGUGCUGCUCAUAACUGCCCUCUACGUUGCCCAGGAAGUUUACAUCUAGAAAUUAGUAGUAAACUGUGCCCGGCGCACCAGUAGGCAAGACAACCCGCAACUGACCUCCAAUGGUAUAAGCCUCAUGCUCUCUUUGCAAAAAGAAGGUAUGAUAACAGUUCCAAAAACUACAGCACAAGCACAUUUUUAUUUUGGAAGUGCAGAUAAAUUUCCAUUUUUUGAAGUUCGUUCUUCGUUUCCAAGGAAAUAUGAUUUGUCAACUAUACUGCCACGUUGAAUGCUUGUAUUGAGCUGCUUCUUGUUUCACUCUGAACUACAUGAUGCUUCUUUUCUCGUGAACUCAUGUUAUGUUCGUUACUGAUGUAGUACUAAUGCAUGAAAAAAACCUGUGCAGUGCAAAUUUGAUGAUUUUGGUAUUUCUAGGAUAAGCAAAAGUUUCAAGUUCACUGAAACACAUGUUCACAAUUAUCUAAAGGAGAAGUUCCAAUUAUUUUGUCUACGCACUUCACACUGACAUGCUAUUGAAUUCUCCAGUAUGUCAAAAUAUUAAAAGUAGUAAACUGUAUUUUUUUCUGAAUCAUUCAUAAAACAGGAAGUUCGCAUGGAAGUUAACGGAAUGCAUCGAGAAUUUCAUUAUCUUUUCUGUUCGGGAAGUUUACUUUAAUUUUCCAUGGAGUUCACUUUUGUAUGACAUGGCCUUGAGGAAUAAGAAAUUGCUCCUUUUGGUUUAAUAAGUGACCAUCUCAUAAGCACACCUCGUUCACGCAUGAAGUUCACUUAUUUUGGUUUGCAAGUUUGAUUUGUCCAUGGAUGGAUUUCUUUGGCACGUUGGAUGAAUACCAAUGUGCUACACUUGCCCCCUGUCCAGGCCAGUUCAAUAUUUCUUCUGAAGUUCAGUUCAGUGUCGUGGUAUUAUAAUAUUACCUCAGCCAAGGGUUUGACGAGAUAUUGGUGAUCUGGUGUGGAUACAAGUACUUCAAUUGCAACCUGUAUGCUGCUUCAAAAGGU
This is a non-coding RNA of Lolium perenne, 2453 nucleotides long. Lineage: Eukaryota; Viridiplantae; Streptophyta; Magnoliopsida; Poales; Poaceae. The record is from RefSeq and is a predicted model, not a curated record.